RNAcentral lists this microRNA precursor (86 nucleotides) under Cajanus cajan (pigeon pea). RNAcentral describes it as "miRNA gene-KK1_049338". Lineage: Eukaryota; Viridiplantae; Streptophyta; Magnoliopsida; Fabales; Fabaceae. The record is from RNAcentral.
UAAAAAAACCGAUUUUAAAAGUUAUACUUUUAAAAUCGGUUAUUUAACCGAUUUAAAAAGUCUAACUUUUAAAAUCGGCUCUUUUA